GGUCUGUGGCUCAGUGAUAGAACACUUGCCUAGCAUGUGUGAGGCACUGAGUUCGAUCCUCAGCACCA
RNAcentral lists this transfer RNA (68 nucleotides) under Marmota monax (woodchuck). RNAcentral's name for it is "tRNA.Ala". Lineage: Eukaryota; Metazoa; Chordata; Mammalia; Rodentia; Sciuridae. The record is from RNAcentral.